UACGAAGGGGGCUAGCGUUGCUCGGAAUCACUGGGCGUAAAGCGCACGUAGGCGGCUUUCUAAGUCAGGGGUGAAAUCCUGGAGCUCAACUCCAGAACUGCCUUUGAUACUGGAGAGCUAGAGUCCGGAAGAGGUGAGUGGAACUGCGAGUGUAGAGGUGAAAUUCGUAGAUAUUCGCAAGAACACCAGUGGCGAAGGCGGCUCUCUGGACCGAGACUGACGCUGAGGCGCGAAAGCGUGGGGAGCAAACAGG
This 253-nucleotide ribosomal RNA is filed under the name uncultured bacterium. RNAcentral's name for it is "partial 16S ribosomal RNA". It matches the Rfam family "Bacterial small subunit ribosomal RNA", at positions 524 to 776 of the family's 1533-position model. The record is from RNAcentral.